RNAcentral lists this ribosomal RNA (158 nucleotides) under Ramalina americana. Its description in RNAcentral is "5.8S ribosomal RNA". It matches the Rfam family "5.8S ribosomal RNA". From Rfam's summary of the family: 5.8S ribosomal RNA (5.8S rRNA) is a component of the large subunit of the eukaryotic ribosome. Lineage: Eukaryota; Fungi; Ascomycota; Lecanoromycetes; Lecanorales; Ramalinaceae. The record is from RNAcentral.
AAAACUUUCAACAACGGAUCUCUUGGUUCUGGCAUCGAUGAAGAACGCAGCGAAAUGCGAUAAGUAAUGUGAAUUGCAGAAUUCAGUGAACCAUCGAAUCUUUGAACGCACAUUGCGCCCCUCGGUAUUCCGGGGGGCAUGCCUGUUCGAGCGUCAUU